Molecule: long non-coding RNA, 6617 nt
Filed under: Homo sapiens (human)
Lineage: Eukaryota; Metazoa; Chordata; Mammalia; Primates; Hominidae
Description: HSALNT0072042
Rfam family: Metazoan signal recognition particle RNA (bases 6143-6290)
Source: RNAcentral
GUUCUACCAUAAAGAUACAUGCAGAUCUAUGUUCAUCAUGGGACUAUUCACAAAAGCAAAGACAUGGAAUCAACCUAAGUGUCCAUGAACAGAUGACUAGAUAAAGAAAAUGUGGUAUAUAUACACAGUGGAAUACUAUGCAGCCAUAAAGGAGAAUGAAAUCAUGUCCUUUGCAGCAAUGUAAAUGCAGCUGGAGGCCAUUAUCCUAAGCAAAUUAACACAGAAACAGAAAACCAAAUGCUACAUGUUCUCUUGUAUAAGUGAGGACUAAACAUUGAGUACACAUGGACACAAAGAAGGGAACAACGGAUACUAGUUCUACUUGAGAGUGGAGGGUGGGAGGAGAGUAGUCUGUACACCAAACCUCCUGACCUGUAAUUUAACCAUGUAACAACCCUGCACAUGUACCCUCUGUAAAAUGAAAGAUGGGAAAACAACAACAACAACAAUAAUAAUAGUAAUAAUGAUAGGGAAAUAACCCAAUUAAAAAAUGGGACAAAGACCUUAACAGAUACCUCACAAAAGAAGAUACGCAGGUGUCAAAUAAGUAUAUGAAUAUACAUCCCAUAUCAUAUGUCACCAGGGAAAUGCAAAUUAAAACAAUGAGAUACCGCUACACACAUGAGAAGGGCCAAGAUGCAGAACACUGACAACAUCAAAUGCUGACAAAGGUGUGGAGUAACAGGAACUUUCAUUCAUUGCUGUUGGGAAUGAAAAAUGCUACAGCCAUUUUGGAAGACAGUUUGGUAGCCACUUACAAAGCUAAACAUACUCUUACCAUAUGAUCCAGCAAUUGGGCUUUUCAAUAUUUACUGAAAUGUGUUGAAAACGUAUCUACACACAAAAACCUGCACUUGGAUGCUUAUAGCAGCUUUAUUCAUAAUUGCCAAAACUUGGAAGCAACCAAGAUGUCCUUCUGUAGGUGAAUGAACAAAUAUGCCCAGAUAAUGAAAUAUUAUUCAGUGCUAAAAAGAAAUGGGCUGUCAAGUGUGAAAAGAUAAACAGAAAAAUUAAAGGCAUAUUACUGAAAGAAAAAAUUAAUCUGAAACAGCUACAUACUGCGUGAGUUAAACUAUAUGAUAUUCUGGAAAAAAAAAAAAAACAAAAAAUAUGGAGACAGCAAAAAUCUCAAUUGCUCCUAGGAGUUAGGGAUAGGGAAGGAUGAAUAGGCGGAAGACAGAGGAUUAUUAGGACAGUAAAAAUACUCUGUAUGAUACCAUGAUGGUGUACACAUGUCGUUAUGCAUUUAUCCAAACCUAUAGACUAUGCAACACCAAGAGUGAACCCUAAUGUCAACUGUGGACUUUGGGUGAUAAUGAUCUGCCAAUGUAUGUUCGUGAAUUGCAACAUCCCCCACUCUGGUGGGGGAUGUUGAUAAUGGGGGAGGCUAUUCCUGUGUGGGGCAGAGGAUGUAUGGGAAAUCUCUGUACCUUCCACUCAGUUUUGCUGUGAACCUAAAACUAUUUUAAAAACUAAAAACUAUUACAAAUAAAUAGAAAUAUGCUGCUCCAGGCCCUCAACAGGCCUUUUCAGCCUGGGAACUCACGAGCUCCUAUUCUUCUAUUCUGGAAAUGUUCUUUCCUCAUGCAUGUACUUCAUUAGACCAUAAUACGCUUUGUCAAGGCAGGAACCAUGUGAUUCUUGCUCAUGAUUCUUUUAUGGUGCCUAGUGAAGUACCUGGAGCCCAAUAGCUAUUUAAUGAGUGAACUAAUGAAUGAAUGAAUGCAGGAAAGAACAUGAGUGCUUUGGGAAGAAGAUAUUCCGCUGAGCUUCGGGGAUGCCAAGCUUAAGGUGUACAUUGUAUGUAAGAGCCUAGACCCACGAAAUAUAUCAAGGCUGCAAAUGUAGGCUAGGGAGGUAACUGCAUAUAUUUGGUACUUGAAGCCCUGGUGGUGAUAUGGUCUCCCUGGAAAGGUAUAUGGAGUGAAAAGAAAAGAAAGUGGCUAGUAAAGGGCAGUAAAGUCCAUGGUUUCUCUGAAUGAAGAAAAAAUGUUGUUUUCCAAAAUUUCCAAACAAAAGCGAAACUCAUGGAGAAUUUUCCAUUAUCCUAUGGCUUUCUCUAUGUCUCAGCAGAACUUUUCAUAUACUGUAAGAAGCAUGAUACUAGAGUACACUAAUUAUUAAGGUUCAUCACCAAAACUCACCCCUUCUAUAUCCACAGAGAAAGAGGCAUAUGCGGGUAGGUAACAGAAAUGACAGGAAAAGCUAUUGACAGAUGAGAAUAGUGGCCAGAAGAGAAAUAUAGGUGAAGUGUUCUGGCCUACCCAAACCCUCAGUCUCCAGCCCAGAUCCUCGGCUCCUGAAAACACUACAAAAUACUCCCCCAGUACUCCACCCCUGCCACUAGCAAGUAUCACUUGCAGGCCCAUCCUUUGCUCUCUUAACCAUGCCCACAUGCUCUUUCCCACCGCGUCUUAUUCCUCCUCUCUAAGAAGUCUUAUUCUCUGUGUAAGAAAGCUUAAGUCCUCUGCUUGUUCAGCCUAGCUUGAACUGAAACCAAUAUCCCCAAUACCAGCUAAAGUUAGCUAACGUGAUCUAAUUCCUGGAUAUUUAGGGCCCCCUCUAACUGCCUCUAUCACCAGCAAAAUCACCUGCUGGGAACUGACUCUCAGCCCAGGUUCUAUUUCUGUCCCCCACCCGCUUCAUCUACCUCUGUAAGUUCUGAACCAUCUCAGAAUGAAGCUCCCAGAGAAACCCUGCCCUGCAUGGUAUAUUCCUGCCACUGCAUGCUUGCAGAUGCGCUCAUAAUUGAAUUUGUUCAUUUUAAUGGUGGAAGUUUGGGCACCUGGGAGCCAAUUUUAGAAAAUGCAUUGGCUAUUGGACAAAAUGAUGAAGUCCAGAUCUAGCAUGUGGGUCUGAGAUUCUCCACUACUGGGCUAGCUAACCAGAUUGCUAAAAGGAAGUAGAAAGAGAGUUUAUGUGUUGUGACAUUCUAUACAAACAAGAAUUCAGUUCACAUUAGUGGAAAGUAUUAAGAAUCAAUCUUUCUCCACAAUGAAAAACACUGAAUAAAAUAUAUUUAAAACACUGAAUAAAAUAUAUUUAAAGUCACGUUAAAAGCAAGGAAGGUCUGGGCAUGGUGGCUUAUGCCUGUAAUCCCAGCACUUUGGGAGGCCAAGGCAGGAGGAUCACUUGAGCCCAGGAGUCGAGCCUGGGAAACAUAGUGAGAUUCUUGCCUCCACAAAACAUCCAAAAAUUAGCUGACCAUGGUGGUGGGCACCUAGAGUCUCAGGUACUUGGGAGACUGAGGUGGGAGGAUCACUUGAGCCUUGGAGGUCGAGGCUACAGUGAGCUGUGAUUGUGCCACUGCACUCCAGCCUGGGCAACAGAGCGAGACCCUGUCAAAAAAAAAAAAAAAAGAAAAAAAGAAAAAAGAAAAAGAAAAGACAAGGAAGGAUUACCACAUGUCAUGCCACAUUUUGGUGGGAAAAGCCUGAACCUGGAAGCCAAAGAAAAAAAGUAUCUGAGCAACAAAACCCUUCUAAGGGGGCUUACUGACACUGAUCACUUAGUCUUGAGUUCCCCAGCCUCAUGUGGCCAAAAGGACAGAGUCAAGGCCCAGGGCCACUCAAGAAGAGGAAACUUGGGGAUAACAUUUUCUAUGUCAAAUGAACCCCAAAACACUACAUAAUAAAAUAAAUUAUAAACAGAACUAAACUCCUCCUACUUCCCAGUAGUAAUGGAACAGGGAAAAACAAACAAAAGAGAAAAAAGAGAGAAAGAAAAAAAGAGAAGAAAAGAAAGGGAAGAGAGAAAGAGAAAGAAAGAAGAAAGAAGAAAUAGAAAAGGAAGAAAGAGAAAGAAGAAAGAAAAAGAAAGAAAGAAAAAGAAAAAGAAAGGAAAAGAAAGAAUCAAAUCCCUAAGAAGUUAUGGGCAUAGAUUGGUCCUCAUAAGUAUUUGUACUCUAGACAAACAUAGCCUGGGUGAACAGAGAAUCUCAAGUUGAGACCAUCCACAACCAGUGUGCCCUUGCACUUGGCAGAAACAAAGGCAAAACCUCUAUGAAACAGGAAUAAUUUAUCCUAGGCACCAGGGAACCCACAAAUUUUUCUUAAGGGCAAUGACCAGCAAGCAAAAAAUACUAGACACACAAGAAAGCAAGGCAACAUGAAUGAAAAUUGGUAGAACAAAAGAGACUACCCAAAUUUCAGCUAUUCAAAUUAGCAGGCACAAAUUAUAUAAAUGAUAAGUUUGAAAAUCUCUGUAAGAAACCAUUAAAUACAGAAAAUCCCUGUAAGAAACCAUUAAAUAAGAUUUCUGUAAGAAAUCUUAAAUACAGCAGAUUUAAGAAAAAGCAACAUAGAAAUUCUAGAAAUAAGCCAAGCAUGCUGGUUCAUGCUUUGGGAGGCUGAGACAGGAGGAUUGUUUGAGAUCAGAAGUUCAAGACCAGCCUGGACAACAUAGCAAGACCCAUUUUUACAAAAAAAAAAAAAAAAGCUGGCAUGGUGGUAUGUGCCUGUAGUCCCAGCUACUUGGGAGCCUGAGGUGAGAAGAUUGCUUGAGACCAGAGAGUUCAAGGCUGCAGUGAGCUAUGAUCGCACAGCUAUACUCCAGCCUGAAUGACGGAGAAAGACCCUGUCUCUUAAAACACACACAGACACACACACUCACACACACACACACACACCAACAACCAAAAUAAAAACUCAAAAGACAUGUUUGGUAGUAGAAAAUUAGUGAGCUAGAAGAUAGGGCAAAAGAAAUCACUCAGAGUGUGUAACAGAGAACAUAGAAAAUACAGCACAGGGAGUGAUGGCUCAUGCCUGUAAUCCCAACACUUUGGGAGGCCGAGGCGGGCGGAUCACCUGAGGUAAAGAAAUUGAGACCAGCCUGGCCAGCAUGGUGAAACCCCGUCUCUACUAAAAAUACAAAAAUUAGCAGGACGUGGUGGGGCACAUCUGUAAUCCCAGCUACUCAGGAGGCUGAGGCACGGGAAUCACUUGAACCCGGGAGGCCACCAUUGCAUUCCAGCCUGGGCAAUAGAGUGAGACUCUGUCUCAAAGAAAAAAAAAAAAAAGAAAAAAAAGUACAGCAGAGAAGUAUCAAGAUAAAGUCUUAACUAUUUGUGAUUGGAAUCCCAGAAGGAGAUGAGAGAGAGAAUGGGGCAGAGAGAAUAUCUGAAGAGAUAAUAGCAGAACAUUUCUUAGAAAAAUAUGAGAUACCUAAUUGACAGAUUCCAAAGGCUCAGAAUAUAUUUUUAUUUAUGCUGCUUGUGAUUUUCACACCUGAAUACAUCAUAGAGGAAACAAAAACAAAGACAGUCUUAAAAGUAGCCAGAGGGGAAGUAAAAGAGAGAAUGUCUUCAAAGUAGAAGCAUUUAGACAGACAAGUGAGUUCUCAACAGAAAUAAUGGAAGGCAGGCCAGGCACAGUGGCUCAUGUCUGUAAUCCCAGCUACUUGGGAGGCUGAGGUGGGAGAAUUGCUUGAACCCAGGAGGUGGAGGUUGCAGUGAGCCGAGAUCAUGCCGCUGCACUCCAGCCAGGGCAACAGAGCAAGACCCUGUCUCAAAGAAAGAAAAAAAAAGAAAUAAUGGAAGGCAGAUGACAAUGCCAUAAUGUCUUAAAUAAGCUGCAAGAAAAUAACUGCUGUAUCAGUCAGCAUUCAACCAGAGAAGCAGAACCAGAAGGAGAUAUAUAUUAAGAGACUUGUUGUGGGAAUUAGCUUACACAAUUGUGAGAAGGACAGGCUGGAACUCUCGGGUACAAGUUGAAGAGACAAUCCACAGGCAGAAUUUCUACUUUAUUCUGGGAAGCCUCAACUCUGCUCUUAAUGUCUUUUAACUUAUUAAUCAUGCCCAUGCAGAUUAUCUAGAAUAAUCUUCCCUACUUAAAGUCAACUGAUUAUGGACUUUAAUCACAUCUACAAAACCCCUUCAUGGCAACCCCUGGUGUUUGAUUGAAUAACUGGAGUCUGUACACUAGCCGGUUCGACAUAUCAAAAGAUCAUCACAACUGCUAACCUAGAAUUCCGAUGAAUUAUAUCUUCAAUGAAAAUAUCUUCCAUGAAUGAGAGCUGGCCAGGCAUGGUGGCUCACACCAGUAAUCCCAGCACUUUGGGAGGCUGAAGCAGGAGGAUCGCUUGGGGCCAGGAGUUCGAGACCAGACUUGGCAAGAUAGUCUACAAAAAAAUUGUUAAAAAAUUAGCUGGGCAUGGUGGCACAUGCCCGUAGUCCCAGCUACUGGGGAGGCAGAGGCAGGAGGAUCACUUGAGCCUAGGAUUUUGGGGCUGCAGUGAGCUAUGAUCAUGCCACUGCAUGUCAACCUGGGUGAAAGAGUGAGAUCUUGCCUCUGAAAAAAUAAAAAAUGAAUGGAAGCCAAGAAAAGAUAUUAAAACAAAAAUAGAGCUCAUCACCAGCAUUUUAUCACCAAAAGAAAUUCUAAGGGAUAUACUUCAGAUAGAAGGAAAAAGGUCUCAGAUAGACCGUCUGAGUUUCACUAAAGAAUCUGAGAAGCAAAAUAAAUAAACAAAAUAACGAAAGAAAAGAGAGAUACAGUAUAUACUUUUAAACUAUUGCUAGAGGGCCAAGAGAUUGAAUGAUAAAAUAAUGAAUUCAAAGGAAGUCAAGAAAACAAAAAUAACAGGUUGAGCAAAAAAUAAGAUGAUAGGUUUAAAUCCAG